Molecule: regulatory RNA element, 94 nt
Organism: Phenylobacterium sp. Root1277
Lineage: Bacteria; Pseudomonadati; Pseudomonadota; Alphaproteobacteria; Caulobacterales; Caulobacteraceae
Rfam family: Glycine riboswitch aptamer
About the family: This family represents the bacterial glycine riboswitch.
Source: Rfam
CCGACUCUCGCGGGAGAGAUCGGGCCUUUCGGGGUCCGGAGCCGAAGGCGCAACCGCCCCGGAAACGCUCAGGCAAAAGGACCGCGCGAGCUGA